UUAAACUAAAUGUCAAUGUCCUUAUAAAAAAUCAAUACAAAUAAUAUCAAUAUCCACCCUUGUCAUCUUUGCCGACCAAUCUAAAAAAUUGAACAAAAAUUAAUUAGUAAUCACUAAUUAGAGUACAAAAUAACUAUGCAACAAACUUAAUAUAGCUAUUUUACUAUUCUCUUUCAAAUUCAAUGGAUGAAUAUAAAACAAUAUCAGUCCAAAGUAGUAGUUAAAAAUCAUAUUCAUAACUAUUAAUUAUCUUUACAAAAGCACAAUUUAAAUUCAAUGGAAAAAAAUGUAAUACAAGGCUUAACAAGACUUAAAAUGGAAAAAAAAGGUAGCACCUCUUUUAACAAGACUUAUAAGGCAGUCAAUCUGCAAAACAAUCACACUCAUUAACAUAUAAAAAAACACACAAAAAGAUAUAAUAUAAAACUAAUAAGAAGAAAAUGAAAUAAAAAAAGAAAGAAGUUAGUCAUUCCAUUUAAAAUUGGUAAAUCUAAAAAAUAAAAACAAUGAAUAUAUUACGAUUUAAUUUUACCUCUCAAAUAUGUGAAAAACACACAAAUAUAUGAAAAACACAAGACAAAUCCAUGCAAAACAUUAAACAAACAUAAUGAAAUAAAAAAAAAGUUAGUCAUAUAAAUUAAAAUCAGUAAAUAAAAAAAAUAUAAUAAAUGUAUUAUGAUUGUGUAUCACCUUUAAAAUCUGGAAAAUGCAUAAGUCUAUUUUGAGUAUUUUGAAAACAAUCUAAAAUAAAUAAGCAUAUAAAAUAAAAGAAAAACAUUGUUAGUCAAACCCUACCAAAAAAAUGACAUACAAAGAAAAAAGCUAAACUUUAUUAACACAAUAACUUAAACAAGACUCGUAUAGUUUAAAACGUGAAAUCAUAUAGUUUAAAAAGAAAGAUAAGUGAUGAAAACCUGAACGAAUAUCAUUCGUUUCACGGCACUAAUCGUUGUUCCUUUUAGGGUUGAGCGAGAGAGAGAGAUUCAUGAAGUGGAAGUGGGAUUGAGACUCAUGAGAUGAGGGUUGUGAAAGUGAGGGCGACUGUUGAGUGAAGUGUUGGCUAGGGUUUAGAAA
RNAcentral lists this long non-coding RNA (1074 nucleotides) under Cicer arietinum (chickpea). RNAcentral describes it as "long non-coding RNA (CARI_LNC003078)". The record is from RNAcentral. Lineage: Eukaryota; Viridiplantae; Streptophyta; Magnoliopsida; Fabales; Fabaceae.